This 461-nucleotide ribosomal RNA is filed under the name uncultured bacterium. RNAcentral's name for it is "partial 16S ribosomal RNA". It matches the Rfam family "Bacterial small subunit ribosomal RNA", at positions 338 to 795 of the family's 1533-position model. The record is from RNAcentral.
CCUACGGGAGGCAGCAGUGAGGAAUAUUGGUCAAUGGCCGGGAGGCUGAACCAGCCAAGUCGCGUGAGGGAAGACGGCCCUAUGGGUUGUAAACCUCUUUUGUCAGGGAGCAAGAUGCAGGUCGGGACAUGCUGUGAGGGUACCGGAAGAAAAAGCAUCGGCUAAUUCCGUGCCAGCAGCCGCGGUAAUACGGAGGGGGCAAGCGUUGUUCGGAAUGAAUGGGUGUAAAGGGUGUGUAGGUGGUUUGUUAAGUUAGCUGUGUAAUACCCAGGGCUUAACUCGGGUGCUGCAUCUAAAACUGUUAGGCUUGAGUACUGGAGAGGAUAGUGGAAUUCCUAGUGUAGCGGUGGAAUGCGUAGAUAUUAGGAGGAACAUCAGUGGCGAAGGCGACUAUCUGGACAGCAACUGACACUGAGGCACGAAAGCGUGGGGAGCAAACAGGAUUAGAUACCCUGGUAGUC